This 301-nucleotide ribosomal RNA is filed under the name uncultured bacterium. RNAcentral's name for it is "partial 16S ribosomal RNA". It matches the Rfam family "Bacterial small subunit ribosomal RNA", at positions 509 to 807 of the family's 1533-position model. The record is from RNAcentral.
CAGUAGCCGCGGUAAUACGUAGGUGGCAAGCGUUGUCCGGAAUUAUUGGGCGUAAAGGGCUCGCAGGCGGUUUCUUAAGUCUGAAGUGAAAGCCCCCGGCUCAACCGGGGAGGGUCAUUGGAAACUGGGAAACUUGAGUGCAGAAGAGGAGAGUGGAAUUCCACGUGUAGCGGUGAAAUGCGUAGAGAUGUGGAGGAACACCAGUGGCGAAGGCAACUCUCUGGUCUGUAACUGACGCUGAGGAGCGAAAGCGUGGGGAGCGAACAGGAUUAGAUACCCCUGUAGUCCCUGUCUCUUAUAC